RNAcentral lists this ribosomal RNA (484 nucleotides) under uncultured bacterium. Its description in RNAcentral is "partial 16S ribosomal RNA". It matches the Rfam family "Bacterial small subunit ribosomal RNA", at positions 28 to 507 of the family's 1533-position model. The record is from RNAcentral.
AUUGAACGCUGGCGGCAUGCUUUACACAUGCGAGUCGAACGGCAGCGCGGGCUUCGGCCUGGCGGCGAGUGGCGAACGGGUGAGUAAUGCAUCGGAACGUACCCAGUAGUGGGGGAUAGCCCGGCGAAAGCCGGAUUAAUACCGCAUACGACCUGAGGGUGAAAGCGGGGGACCGAAAGGCCUCGCGCUAUUGGAGCGGCCGAUGUCGGAUUAGCUAGUUGGUGGGGUAAAGGCUUACCAAGGCGACGAUCCGUAGCUGGUCUGAGAGGACGACCAGCCACACUGGGACUGAGACACGGCCCAGACUCCUACGGGAGGCAGCAGUGGGGAAUUUUGGACAAUGGGGGCAACCCUGAUCCAGCCAUGCCGCGUGCGGGAAGAAGGCCUUCGGGUUGUAAACCGCUUUUGUUCGGGAAGAAAUCCUCUGGGCUAAUACCCCGGGGGGAUGACGGUACCGGAAGAAUAAGCACCGGCUAACUACGUG